This 468-nucleotide ribosomal RNA is filed under the name uncultured bacterium. RNAcentral describes it as "partial 16S ribosomal RNA". It matches the Rfam family "Bacterial small subunit ribosomal RNA", at positions 28 to 507 of the family's 1533-position model. The record is from RNAcentral.
GACGAACGCUGGCGGCGUGCUUAACACAUGCAAGUCGAACGGAAAGGCCCUGCUUUUGUGGGGUGCUCGAGUGGCGAACGGGUGAGUAACACGUGAGUAACCUGCCCUUGACUUUGGGAUAACUUCAGGAAACUGGGGCUAAUACCGGAUAGGAGCUCCUGCUGCAUGGUGGGGGUUGGAAAGUUUCGGCGGUGGGGGAUGGACUCGCGGCUGAUCAGCUUGUUGGUGGGGUAGUGGCUUACCAAGGCUUUGACGGGUAGCCGGCCUGGGAGGGUGGCCGGCCACCUUGGGCCUGAGAUACGGCCCAGUCUCCUACGGGAGGCAGCAGUGGGGAAUAUUGCACAAUGGGCGGAAGCCUGAUGCAGCAACGCCGCGUGCGGGAUGACGGCCUUCGGGUUGUAAACCGCUUUCGCCUGUGACGAAGCGUGAGUGACGGUAAUGGGUAAAGAAGCACCGGCUAACUACGUG